RNAcentral lists this ribosomal RNA (468 nucleotides) under uncultured bacterium. RNAcentral describes it as "partial 16S ribosomal RNA". It matches the Rfam family "Bacterial small subunit ribosomal RNA", at positions 28 to 507 of the family's 1533-position model. The record is from RNAcentral.
GACGAACGCUGGCGGCGUGCUUAACACAUGCAAGUCGAACGGAAAGGCCCUGCUUUUGUGGGGUGCUCGAGUGGCGAACGGGUGAGUAACACGUGAGUAACCUGCCCUUAACUUUGGGAUAACUUCAGGAAACUGGGGCUAAUACCGGGUAGGAGCUCCUGCUGCAUGGUGGGGGUUGGAAAGUUUCGGCGGUUGGGGAUGGACUCGCGGCUUAUCAGCUUGUUGGUGGGGUAGUGGCUUACCAAGGCUUUGACGGGUAGCCGGCCUGAGAGGGUGACCGGCCACAUUGGGACUGAGAUACGGCCCAGACUCCUACGGGAGGCAGCAGUGGGGAAUAUUGCACAAUGGGCGGAAGCCUGAUGCAGCAACGCCGCGUGCGGGAUGACGGCCUUCGGGUUGUAAACCGCUUUCGCCUGUGACGAAGCGUGAGUGACGGUAAUGGGUAAAGAAGCACCGGCUAACUACGUG